CGGCGGACGGGUGAGUAAUGCCUAGGAAUCUGCCUGGUAGUGGGGGACAACGUUUCGAAAGGAACGCUAAUACCGCAUACGUCCUACGGGAGAAAGCAGGGACCUUCGGGCCUUGCGCUAUCAGAUGAGCCUAGGUCGGAUUAGCUAGUUGGUGAGGUAAUGGCUCACCAAGGCGACGAUCCGUAACUGGUCUGAGAGGAUGAUCAGUCACACUAGAACUGAGACACGGUCCAGACUCCUACGGGAGGCAGCAGAU
RNAcentral lists this ribosomal RNA (256 nucleotides) under uncultured Pseudomonas sp. RNAcentral describes it as "partial 16S ribosomal RNA". It matches the Rfam family "Bacterial small subunit ribosomal RNA", at positions 96 to 354 of the family's 1533-position model. Lineage: Bacteria; Pseudomonadati; Pseudomonadota; Gammaproteobacteria; Pseudomonadales; Pseudomonadaceae. The record is from RNAcentral.